UUGAAAUACGUCAGAAAUGAGUUGAAGCAUUCGAGUCCAGUGAUUGUGCUGUACAUUUCCCUGGGCUUGUGCGUUCGUUGAAGACUGUCAUUAGCCAUCAGCUUUGGGAAGCCGUGUGCAAGGUUGCUUGACCUUCAACGGGAGUCCAUACACACACACGGUGUGAAUGCAAAAAAAUGCAACCAAGCGGAACUGUUGAAUCGUUGGACCACGUCAGCUCACAGGAGGACGUUAAUGGUAUAUGUGCAUCAUCAUUAUUAAGCGCAUCUUCUUGCGAUCGUUUGACUCUGAUUAAAAAGAUGGCCCUCUAUACAGCACCCGCUGACAACUAAUGAGCCAAACGGAAGAAGAAAGAGGGUCAGUGUCGGUGAAGGACAGAAUGAAGAAACUGGACCAGUUUGAUCAGCACGCCAUUCAUCGAGG
Molecule: long non-coding RNA, 423 nt
Organism: Daphnia magna
Lineage: Eukaryota; Metazoa; Arthropoda; Branchiopoda; Diplostraca; Daphniidae
Exons: 3
Source: RefSeq, a predicted model, not a curated record